UUCGUCUCACGUGACUGGCGAAACGCCGGCAAAAGCCGGCCAAGAUGGGGAUCCAUCGGGAAGCGUGAGAUUUCAACAGCCGUGCGCCUGGGCAGCCGAA
RNAcentral lists this non-coding RNA (100 nucleotides) under Herbaspirillum seropedicae. RNAcentral describes it as "ZTP sequence". It matches the Rfam family "ZMP/ZTP riboswitch aptamer (pfl RNA motif)". From Rfam's summary of the family: Previously known as pfl RNA. ZMP is also known as AICAR. Lineage: Bacteria; Pseudomonadati; Pseudomonadota; Betaproteobacteria; Burkholderiales; Oxalobacteraceae. The record is from RNAcentral. RNAcentral also lists the same sequence under 1 other name.